UACGAGGGGUCCUAGCGUUGUUCGGAAUUAUUGGGCGUAAAGCGGGUGUAGGCGGAUCGAUAAGUCGGGUGUGAAAGCCCUGGGCUCAACCCAGGAAGUGCAUCUGAUACUGUUGAUCUUGAGUGUGGUAGAGGCUAGUGGAAUUCCUGGUGUAGUGGUGAAAUACGUAGAUAUCAGGAGGAACAUCGGUGGCGAAGGCGGCUAGCUGGACCAACACUGACGCUCAGACCCGAAAGCGUGGGGAGCAAACAGG
RNAcentral lists this non-coding RNA (253 nucleotides) under uncultured bacterium. RNAcentral's name for it is "partial 16S ribosomal RNA". It matches the Rfam family "Bacterial small subunit ribosomal RNA", at positions 524 to 776 of the family's 1533-position model. The record is from RNAcentral. RNAcentral also lists the same sequence under 1 other name.